UCCUGGGGCUGAAGUAGGUCCCAAGGGUUGGGCUGUUCGCCCAUUAAAGCGGUACGCGAGCUGGGUUCAGAACGUCGUGAGACAGUUCGGUCCCUAUCUGUCGUGGGCGUAGGAAAUUUGAGAGGAGCUGUCCUUAGUACGAGAGGACCGGGAUGGACGUACCGCUGGUGCACCAGUUGUUCCGCCAGGAGCACGGCUGGGUAGCUAAGUACGGAAGGGAUAAGCGCUGAAAGCAUCUAAGCGUGAAGCCCCCCUCAAGAUGAGAUUUCCCAGUAUGUAAGACCCCUUGAAGACGACGAGGUAGAUAGGUUGGAGGUGGAAGUGCAGCAAUGCAUGGAGCUGACCAAUACUAAUCGGUCGAGGGCUUAUCCUAAA
This 375-nucleotide ribosomal RNA is filed under the name Paenibacillus sp. DMB20. Its description in RNAcentral is "bacterial LSU rRNA". It matches the Rfam family "Bacterial large subunit ribosomal RNA", at positions 2545 to 2925 of the family's 2925-position model. Lineage: Bacteria; Bacillati; Bacillota; Bacilli; Caryophanales; Paenibacillaceae. The record is from RNAcentral.